CACACCUACGGGAGGCAGCAGUGAGGAAUAUUGGUCAAUGGGCGGAAGCCUGAACCAGCCAAGUCGCGUGAGGGAUUAAGGCCCUAUGGGUCGUAAACCUCUUUUGUCAGGGAGCAAUGGCGUCCACGUGUGGGCGUAUGGAGAGUACCUGAAGGAAAAGCAUCGGCUAACUCCGUGCCAGCAGCCGCGGUAAUACGGAGGAUGCGAGCGUUAUCCGGAUUUAUUGGGUUUAAAGGGUGCGCAGGCGGGCUGUUAAGCCGGCGGUAAAAAUUCAUGGCUCAACCC
This 285-nucleotide ribosomal RNA is filed under the name uncultured bacterium. Its description in RNAcentral is "partial 16S ribosomal RNA". It matches the Rfam family "Bacterial small subunit ribosomal RNA", at positions 334 to 615 of the family's 1533-position model. The record is from RNAcentral.